This 258-nucleotide ribosomal RNA is filed under the name uncultured bacterium. Its description in RNAcentral is "partial 16S ribosomal RNA". It matches the Rfam family "Bacterial small subunit ribosomal RNA", at positions 524 to 776 of the family's 1533-position model. The record is from RNAcentral.
UACGGGGGACGCAAGCGUUAUCCGGAAUUAUCUGGCGUAAAGGGCGCGUAGGCGGUCGUGAACAAGUCACUUGUAGAAAUCUCCGGCUUAACUCGGAACGGUCAAGUGAUACUGUCGGACUACGAGUACAGAAGGGGCGAACUGGAAUUCUCGGGUGUAGCGGUGAAAUGCGUAGAUAUUGGGAGGAACACCAGUGGCGAAGGCGGCUCACUGGACCGGUACUGACGCUGAGGCGCGAAAGCGUGGGGAGCAAACGGG